UGGGAAAGCCCUGUCAUCUUUCAUCACCCGUCAUGAACCAGGAAGAGAAUACUAACUUCAAAUUUUUUAUUUUUGGGCCACCCCCAUCCCAUAAGCAAAAAUGGUGUCCUUCGAUGUCUUACGAUUAACAAUGUCCCAAUUACUGCACCCCAUGAUAUAGUUUUCCACCGUCUGGCUUGUUGAAAUAUUUUUGGUUGGGGAAAUAAAGGGCAAAACCUCAGAGACUGAAGGGGAAGCACAGCGCCAACUACGGCAACGGAGGAAAACAGCGCGGCCUGCAAACACCAAACCAAAACCCUCCUUUGCUCAGCGCCGUAUCGCGCCGGAGACUUCGCAGCCCGCCUGCCUCCUCAGACUUCCUGUGGCCGAGUGAGCGAGUCCCCUGUGGGAACCGGAGUGGGAGGGAGGUGGGCCGAGGGAGCGGGAACACAGAGGAAACAGUGAGCUGCAGGAAUGUUUACUUGAAGGCCAAGUCCAACCUCCCCCCCACCCCUUCACGUCUUUAGGACUCCAUUCAAGCUUUGGCCUUUUCAACUGACCAUUGUAUGAUAUGGCUUUGAGGUGCUUUAAUGAAGCGGCCUUUCAAAGCAAAUCUGCAGGCUAAACAAGACUCUAAUAGCCGCCCGGGCCAGAGCAGACAUGCUUUAUUUUUUAAUUAGAGCCGCUCUGCGAUUCCAGGGGUGGGCCUCACGUCACAAACGUAUUGAUUCGCCGGCAUAGUUGAGGAAUCAUCUUUUUGUUCAUAUUUUGCCAAGUGGAGCAUUGCCAAAGAUAGCGCGAAGCUUCUCGACCGUGGACGUAGCAUCGCUAGAAUCGCUAGCGUCACGAGAAAUGUCAACUUUUUCCAGUUUUAUGUGAAAUUGUUUGAAAACACUUUUUUAAAAAAUGAUAAAUAAGUCGAUCAAUCAAUCUGUGAAGGCGCUCCCCUGUAUGGAGAUGGUGGUGUCCAGUGCAUGCUGUAGAUUGUCCAUAACAGACAGAAGCUUGUUCAGUGUUCUCCUUUCUGCACAGAUUAUCCAUCAUGACCUUUGUAGCCCUUAAUGGCUCUUUAGCUGGAUCUCCUGACAUCGCUUCCUCGACAUGAACAUGGUUUUACAGUAAACUUCAGCUGGGAGUGGCAUUCAACAGCAGAAGAAUUGUUUGCAAUCUGCCAAACGUUGACUUGCUGUGAAGUCAGUUGAAUUGAGUACAUCACUCGUACUGUAUCUUGAAAAAUUUGGACGUUGAUUGCAACUUUGCUCAGUUUUUGCGCUGAAGGUCGGCCCUCUGAUGACGCAUCUCCGGGCUGGCGCUGGGACGGCGCCGAUGCCCACAGAGAUGUCCAUUCGUUUGGAGAGUCCCACACAGCAGCUGUGACCGAACCACGCAGCCAGCCGGCCAGUCCCCCAACCAACCGCCCACCCCCGUCUUCUAUGCUCUUUUGUUCCCGCUGACCCACGCAGGACGCCAUCACGGUGACAUCCACACCCACCCAUGCGCAGCUUAUCCCACCACACACACGCACGCACGCACACACACACACCCACACAUACAUCCAUAUCCCAAACCUCAUUAAACUCUUAACCCCAUCACCACCUUUAAAUAGCCUCCACCCCCACUCCCCCUUCCUCAUAAUCUUGCUCAUAAACCAUCAGGACUUCAUUUAUCUUAAUGGAGAGGGGGUGUAUGUGUGAUAUAGUAUGAUAGACAUUUCUUACACCCGCAAUGAUAUCAACAAAAAUGAACACUGGGCAUCCCCCCAGGUGUGUGGAUAAAAGUUGCAUCCAAUAAGAAAAAAAUAUAUAAAUGUAUAUUUUUGGAAUGGCAAUGAUAUAUAUAUAUAUAUAAAAUUACCUUUAUUAGAGCAAAGGUGUCCUGGCGAAUAAUUCUAAAAAUAAAACCUCGGAGGAACUGUUAUAAAAAGCCCAAUGUCUAGCCAUCUAUUUUCUAUACCGUUUGUCCUCAUUAGGGUUCUGCUUAUGAGCUGAGGCCAAUUUCGGUAGAUUUGGCAACAUAAGCCGGCGCACUCUGGACUAGGCCCAAGUCAAUCCCAGGACUCAGAAACUGUCCUCAUUGGUCAAUCAACCUAUACGGAUAUAUUUUAUGUAGUCAUCACAUUUCGUAUAUUUGCUGUAAUGUCUUUUGGAAUGUGGGAGGAAGUACACCUAAGCACAGCGAGAACGUGGGAACUCCACACAGCAAGACUGGGAUUUGAAUCCUGACCAUCAAAACUAUGAGACAGACCACUAUUCCACCGUGCUACCCACCUAAAAAAAUAUAAACAAUGUAGGCCACAUAUCGCCGGACAGCCAUUCACAACUGAGGGAAAAUAUUCCAACUGUAGGUUGAACAACGCGUCUUUUGGGGAUCUGGGACGAAGCUGGACUACCUGGAGAAAACCCACACAAGUGCCGGGAGAGCAUCGCAAAUCCACACAGGAGCGAUUCAAACCCGGAACCUCAGAACUGCGAGGCAGAUGCGCUCGGCGCGACUGUACACCACAACUACAAAUGCUCAUUCUGUAUCCAGCCAUCCAUCCAUCUUCACUGUCUUUAUCCGCUCUUGUGGAUUCCACCCUGGACUGGUCGGAUGCGGUUGCAGGGCGCAGAUGAGCAUUCUCUCUCAGGGUCACAGUGUACCGCUACGAUAUAGAAUCAUCAGUGACCUCAUUUUCGAUGUGAUGGAAUAUGUCAAAAAAAAAAAAAAUGUAUGGCGAUUGUUUCUCAAAGUCUGGAGUCACUUCCCACAACUCCAGUUCAGUUGUGUUUCACUUUUGAGUUCACUUAAUUCGCAUUUACUCUUGGAGAACUAAGAUGUGUCUUGGUUACAAAUUUCCUUUAACAUUUAUAUUUAAAUUGAGUGAUGAUUUAACAACAGCUUUUAUAUAUCGAGGCAGUGUUCAAAGUGUUUGAUAAUAAUGUUAUGCAAAUCCAGUGUAUAUAUUUUAAAUUUAGUGACGGUGGUGACACUUGGAGAGCCAAGUAUUUACUGUAUUUUCUUAGAUUGUACCGUGUGUCAAAAGUUGGAGAAGCACCGCAAUAUCCGCCGCGUGCCUCCCACCCUCGCAGCAGACGUGCGACGUGCACAAAGUUGACAAGUCCGGUAAAAGAAAGCGCGUGAAAUCAACGAAACUUCA
Long non-coding RNA from Syngnathoides biaculeatus (alligator pipefish), 3115 nucleotides. RefSeq lists it as uncharacterized. The transcript has 4 exons. The record is from RefSeq and is a predicted model, not a curated record. Lineage: Eukaryota; Metazoa; Chordata; Actinopteri; Syngnathiformes; Syngnathidae.